CGUCGUUAGCAUCACACAGGUUGAAUGAUUCAACUUGAGUCAUUUGACAUUUCCAGAUAUUUUUAUUUGCGAUUUUCUCUUCGACAGUCACAACAAACAAGAAUUCUUUAAAAAAUAGUGAUAUUUGUUAAUAUACAAGAAGAUGUCUGUUAAUACAGCACACGCCAAUAAUGGCGUUUUAAUACACGCUGGAGAAUACAUAUUACUUCAUAGUGACAAUGUAACAAUGGAAUUUUCUGGUCAAGAUAAUCCCGUCUUUAGGGGUACCAAGGCUGGAAGAAUUUAUUUAACAUCUCAUCGCGUCAUCUUUAAUAGCAAGAAAUCUGGCGAUGAAAUGCAAUCAUUUAGCGCCCCUUUUAUAGCUAUGAGUGAUGUGGAUUUGGAACAACCAGUUUUCGGUGCGAACUACAUUAAAGCCAAGGUACGCGCCCAACCCAAUGGUAACUUUAUCGGCGAAGUGAAAUUCAAGCUGUACUUCAAAUCUGGCGGUGCUAUUGAGUAUGGCAUGGCUUUGUUGCGUGCAGCUAAAACAGCUCAAGAGAAUUAUCAUCGUGGUGGCAGAUUUGCUGAUGAUCCCCCACCAUAUACACCUUCGGGCAAUUGGCAUGAGGCUCCUCCACCAGCUUAUCAGCCACCACCGGGUUACUACGGUUGGUUGCCGCAGCAUGAGGCUUUUAGUGGCCCAGCUCCCAAUAGUGUUUAUCAGAGCGAUAGUCCACCACCAUAUCCUGGUAUUGGAGGACCUCCAGCUUACGGUGCUCCCGCGGAUAAUGCUCCUCCCUAUGGAGCACCAACAGGUGGCUAUGGUGGCGGUCCUGGAUACGGUGGUGCUCCGGGUUAUGGCGGCGCUCCAGGAUACGGCGGACCGCCAGGAUUUUCUGCCCCAGGAGGUUAUGGAGCUCCAGGAUAUGGAGCUCCCCCAUAUGGGGCCCUCGCAUAUGGCGAUCAACCGCAACAGCCUUUAUAUCCUUCUGUGCCGCCAGUACCACAAUCUCAGCCCUACAAUCCAACACAACCACAGCCUUAUAAUCCUUCGGCACCAAAUAAUCAAGGUUGGGGUGGUUUCUCUGCACCAUCAGCGGAACAAUCGCAACCACAACAACAGCAGCAGCCACAACAACGCAAUGCCUCAAAUAAUUCCUCGCAACAGCGAGAAGAACCACCAUCUUGGAAUGGCUUCUCAUUGCCACCCGAUGAUGAUGAACCACCACAACGUCAACAGAAUCAACAGCAACAUUCAUCGGCUCCGCCACAUGGAGGUGGGUAUACUGCAGGGCCAUUAAAUGGAGCAGCGCCUGCUCCUCCUUAUCCACCAUAUCCUAGUUAUCCUCCAUCGAAUGCUUAUCCUCCAUAUCCACCACAGCCAUAUCAAGGUGGUGGUGGCGGAGGAUUGCCUCCUUAUCCUCCAGCUGGUGGGCCUCCAGCUAUGGGUUUCACUGCACCUCCUCAUCAUUACUAAGGCAGACUGUUACUGCUACUAGUAAAUUUUUCAACGAUAUUAAAAAGUCAUGUCCCAACUGGAAAUGUAUAUUUUUAACAUAAAGGUAGCACGGUUUAUUACCACUACUAUUACUUUCCUCAACAAACAACAGGAUAUUUGUUUGUGCCUGUCUUACUUCCAUGUUAAUCCUU
Stomoxys calcitrans (stable fly) is the source of this 1632-nucleotide RNA transcript. It is a transcript of the gene named WW domain-binding protein 2, with no coding region annotated. The record is from RefSeq and is a predicted model, not a curated record. The transcript has 6 exons. NCBI's taxonomy places the organism in Eukaryota, Metazoa, Arthropoda, Insecta, Diptera, Muscidae.